This is a long non-coding RNA of Mesocricetus auratus (golden hamster), 437 nucleotides long. RefSeq lists it as uncharacterized. NCBI's taxonomy places the organism in Eukaryota, Metazoa, Chordata, Mammalia, Rodentia, Cricetidae. The record is from RefSeq and is a predicted model, not a curated record. The transcript has 3 exons.
GCCUCAGAUCCUUCACUGUAUACGGUGCGUAAAGAAAUCCAAAGCCACCGAUGGCCCUCCUUCUGUGUUCAGUCCAGGAAGCAUAAGUUACACAGGCGUACAAGAGUUAGCAGGGAGUUCAAAGAUGGAGAAAGCUGGGGCUUCUUAGGAGGAAUUUGGUAACUGCUGGAUCCGGUCUUGUGCGCGCUGCCACAACUGCUGUGGGUAUGUAUGUACGCGUGCCCUGAUGUGUCCAGAAGACAUUGUUUCCUGGUAGUCGUCUGGCUUCUCUGGCGUCUGCGGUCCUUCCACCGUCAUCCCUGAGGCAUAAGAGGAGGGGAUGUGACAGACAUGUCUAGUUCGAGGCUUGGGCACCCUGCUGUCCUACUCGCUGCACUUUCAACAGUUAGUGUGGCUGAUCUUGAACUCACAGAGUUCCUCUGCCUUCCUACUGUGGG